GGAGGAUCAUUAUCGUAGGGCUUCGACCCUGUCGAGAUAGAACCCUUGCCUUUUUGAGUACCUUUCGUUUCCUCGGCAGGCUCGCCUGCCAAUGGGGACCACAAAAAACACUUUGCAGUACCUGUAACAGUCUGAACAAACAAAACAAAAAUUAAAACUUUCAACAACGGAUCUCUUGGUUCUGGCAUCGAUGAAGAACGCAGCGAAAUGCGAUAAGUAGUGUGAAUUGCAGAAUUCAGUGAAUCAUCGAAUCUUUGAACGCACAUUGCGCCCUUUGGUAUUCCUUAGGGCAUGCCUGUUCGAGCGUCAUUUAAACCUUCAAGCUAAGCUUGGUGUUGGGUGACUGUCCGCUUCACUGCGGACUCGCCUCAAAAUUAUUGGCGGCCGGUACAUUGGCUUCGAGCGCAGCAGAAACGCGAACUCGGGCCCGUCGUAUUGGCUCCCAGAAGCUAUCUUCACAAUUUUGACCUCGGAUCAGGUAGGGAUACCCGCUGAACUUAAGCAUAUCAAUAAGCGGAGAA
Molecule: ribosomal RNA, 521 nt
Filed under: uncultured Pleosporales
Lineage: Eukaryota; Fungi; Ascomycota; Dothideomycetes; Pleosporales
Description: eukaryotic LSU rRNA
Rfam family: 5.8S ribosomal RNA (bases 156-309)
Source: RNAcentral